This 253-nucleotide unclassified non-coding RNA is filed under the name uncultured Parcubacteria group bacterium. RNAcentral describes it as "contains 16S-23S intergenic spacer region". It matches the Rfam family "Bacterial small subunit ribosomal RNA", at positions 524 to 776 of the family's 1533-position model. The record is from RNAcentral.
UACGAGUGCCCCAAGCGUUAUCCGGAAUCACUGGGCGUAAAGGGUGUGUAGGCGGUCUAAUUAGUCUUCUGUUAAACCUUCGGGCUUAACCCGAAGAUCGCAGAGGAAACGGUUAGACUAGAGAAUGUGAGAGGUGUGCGGAACUCACGGUGUAGGGGUGAAAUCCGUUGAUAUCGUGGGGAACACCAAAAGCGAAGGCAGCACACUGGCACAUUUCUGACGCUGAGACACGAAAGCGUGGGGAGCGAAAGGG